Molecule: non-coding RNA, 672 nt
Organism: Saimiri boliviensis boliviensis (Bolivian squirrel monkey)
Lineage: Eukaryota; Metazoa; Chordata; Mammalia; Primates; Cebidae
Source: the annotation of a RefSeq genome assembly
CUUCAGCUGUGGGCACGGAAGGCGACACUCAGGACAAUCUCCAGCAUGGCCUGGGCUCCUCUCCUCCUCACUGUCCUGGCUCACUGCACAGGAUGCUGGGCCCAGUCUGUGCUGACUCAGCCACCCUCAGUGUCUGGGAACCCUGGGCAGAGGGUCACCAUCUCCUGUUCUGGAAGCAGCUCCAACAUUGGAAAUUAUUAUGUGCACUGGUACCAGCAGCUCCCAGGAACGGCCCCCAAACUCCUCAUCUAUGAUAAUAAUCAGCGACCCUCAGGGGUUUCCGACCGAUUCUCUGGCUCCAAGUCCGGCACCUCAGCCUCCCUGGCCAUCACUGGACUCCGCCUUGAGGACGAGGCUGAUUAUUACUGCUUAGCAUGGGAUGACAGCCUGAAUGCUCGCACAGUGCUCCGGGCCAAUGGGGAACUGAGACAAGAACCCCCUUCCUCCUCUGCCAGGAAGGUACGGACAGGCUCCAGAGACCAGGGGCAGCCACCCUGCAUGAUUCUGGCCAUUCUGGCAGAGAUCCAUAAAACAUUUCACGUUGGGAGCUUUGUCGACACAGCCUUCUUGACCACCUCUGGGCUCCAACCUGAGGACGAGGCUGACUAUCACUGUCACACAGCUUCAUCCAGACUCCGUGUCACCAAGAGCUCCUGUUCCAUGGAGAAAUGA